AUGGGGAGUGUAUCAGUUACUGUGGCCGCGCAACAACCAACGCUAACACUCAGUGGCUUUCAACAGCAGCCCUUCACUGGCACGGGCCUCGGAACUGGUGCAGGCUGUCGGCUGCAGCCAGCCCGGCUCCGGCCACAGGGAAGUGGGCUCGGCUUCUUCGGGAGGAGUCAGUGCAGGACUUCUCUGGGAGACCAUGAUUCUGUCAGCUGGGAGUCGGCUCGUCGGGCAGGGCCUGGUAUUGGAAACUUGGAGACCGGUCGUCGUGAGCGCCAGUGCCCCCUGCGUACGUUUCCCGUCCCUAGAGCUGGCAUCCGGUAAAGGGGGAGGGGAAGUUCUGGUCCUAGACAGAGAUUUGGAGUCACUCCAAUUGUGGGACACCUGACCUCUGCCACUUGGCAGCUGUACGACCCUGUGGCAGGUGCCUCACCCGGAGCCCACUAGAACCCCAGAGCUCCAGGCACACUCUUCAGUGAACCCGGUUGCUAAUGGGCCAGAGAAGCCAAUUCCCAAUCCCGUGUGCCGCCGCCACCCUCUGAUUUCCCUCUCAGAGGCGCCACCCCAUGGUGGAGAUAAAGCCUGCCUGGACCCUUCCUGAUCCUGCCUGGCGCUGGCCUGGGAGGUGGGGACGGGGCCACCCAGGGCCACACCACGUCCACUUCCCUGGUCCCCAGCAGCGGGAUGCGGGGGGCAGCAACCCUCCCACAGGCCUCUCACCCCCACCCCCACCCCACCACCCAGGCACGGGGCUGAGAUCUUUCCGGCAGCAUUGGAGCAGCCUCAGCGCCUUUGAUAGCUAAGGGUGCCAAGUCCCCUCUCCUCUGUCCCCGAACCCAGGACACCGCGUGGGGAGGACAGAGUGACACACAGGCAGGAGAAGGGGCCCAGAAGAGCAGGACAUCAAAAGAUUUUGUAACCAAAGUGGCGUCCAGCCCAACGCCAGGGUGGAAACAGCGCCCGCGGGCUCAUUCGGGACGUGUCUCCUCCGUGCCAACAGUGAAGACAGCAUCGCGCCCUCUGCACGGCCCUGUGAUGCAGGUACUGUUAGCGCUCUCAGUGAUCAGACGGGAAAGCGGUCUCAGCACGGGCCUGCUGCCUGCCCGCCUCCCCCAGCCGAUGAUUCGCUAAACUGGCUCCAACCUGGAGGUUAGGACACCACCGGCAGCGCUGUGUGCCGACUGCGCAUGCGUGUGUGGGCUCGUGCGCCUCAGCGCUGCGCACCAGGCCCUGUGCAAGGUGCUGGCAGAUGAGGAAGGGCGAAGCCCUCUCCUUUAGUCCAG
This 1277-nucleotide long non-coding RNA is filed under the name Oryctolagus cuniculus (rabbit). RNAcentral describes it as "lncRNA (ENSOCUG00000031413.1)". The record is from RNAcentral. Lineage: Eukaryota; Metazoa; Chordata; Mammalia; Lagomorpha; Leporidae.